RNAcentral lists this ribosomal RNA (167 nucleotides) under uncultured bacterium. RNAcentral describes it as "partial 16S rRNA". It matches the Rfam family "Bacterial small subunit ribosomal RNA", at positions 338 to 522 of the family's 1533-position model. The record is from RNAcentral.
CCUACGGGGGGCGGCAGUGGGGAAUAUUGGACAAUGGGCGCAAGCCUGAUCCAGCCAUGCCGCGUGAGUGAUGAAGGCCCUAGGGUUGUAAAGCUCUUUCACCGGUGAAGAUAAUGACGGUAGCCGGAGAAGAAGCCCCGGCUAACUCCGUGCCAGCAGCCCCGGUC